This is a long non-coding RNA of Triplophysa rosa, 517 nucleotides long. RefSeq lists it as uncharacterized. The record is from RefSeq and is a predicted model, not a curated record. The transcript has 3 exons. NCBI's taxonomy places the organism in Eukaryota, Metazoa, Chordata, Actinopteri, Cypriniformes, Nemacheilidae.
AUUCGCUUUUUGGAACGGAGGAGCUCAUUUUGACCUCCAAAACGCGGCAAACUCACAAAGUUUUAGAGUCACAGAGACAAAAAUAGAGUGCGGUGUCGCCCGCCAGCUUCCCGGCCCGGCUCGCCCUCUCGAUUAACCCACGUCUAUUGGCACUGUUAGCUGCGUGUGAAACAUUCAUCAGAUGGGUUAAUAAUUUAUCAGGAAGCAGCUUGAGACCCAUGAGCCCAACCCGUAGGCUGCCUCAAUGAAAUGAAGAUUCCUUUGGAAACCAUUCACGCCUGAGUGGAGGAGAGAUGCACUUGGCUUAUGCGGUUCUUAAUUCGUCUAUUUGCCCCCCAGUGCAUUUAAACAUUACGUCCUCCAAAAUAGCAAAGCAACACUGAAAACAUUACAGAACAUCACAUGCACGUGCACCUUAUAAAAACACCAUGAUUUUAGAAGACACAAACGAAUGCAGGAGCCCAAACAUGCGGUAGUGCACGUCCUUUUGAAGAUAAUGAAAACUGCAUAAUGAAUG